Molecule: long non-coding RNA, 511 nt
Organism: Notolabrus celidotus (New Zealand spotty)
Lineage: Eukaryota; Metazoa; Chordata; Actinopteri; Labriformes; Labridae
Exons: 3
Source: RefSeq, a predicted model, not a curated record
UUCUCCCCUCGCUCCGUCUUUCCCAUUUCUCCCAGGUGCCCCAGGUGGUCCAGGAAAUAUGUCAUCAGAUGGGGUUCCUGGGGGUCCAGGUGGCCCUGGUAGUCCUGGAGGGCCCUGAUGAAAUAAGGCAACAUAAAACCAGAGGAAGUCCAGGUGUGCCUGCAGAUCCCUGUGGCCCUUGUGGACCCCGAGGUCCCGGCCCCCCUCCCCGACCAUCCCCUGAGGCUUGUCCUGGAAGGCCAGGUGGUCCUGGGGGACCGGCUGGACCUGGUUCACCUCGCUCCCCUUUCUGCUGUGGAGACACCUGCAGGGACUGAAGUGGGCGGAGCUCGAACAGGGCUGCUGUAGGUGGGGUCCAACUCCAGGAGGGGCUGAAACAAGGACACAAUCACAGUCACCUCAUGAGACCAUAUGGCAGCAUGAUUAUGAUGAUGAUGAUGAUGAUAUCUCUGCAAUGAUCCAUACGCUGACAUUUAAUUAUUGUCUUUAUUUAAUGUAAAUAAAAGUAAUU